CCUACGGGAGGCAGCAGUGAGGAAUAUUGGUCAAUGGCCGAAAGGCUGAACCAGCCAAGUCGCGUGAAGGAAGAAGGCCCUAUGGUUUGUAAACUUCUUUUAUAGGGGAAUAAAGGUAUCCACGUGUGGAUUUUUGCAUGUACCCUAUGAAUAAGCAUCGGCUAACUCCGUGCCAGCAGCCGCGGUAAUACGGAGGAUGCGAGCGUUAUCCGGAUUUAUUGGGUUUAAAGGGAGCGUAGGUUGUUUUUUAAGUCAGCGGUGAAAGUUUGUGGCUCAACCAUAAAAUUGCCGUUGAUACUGGAAGACUUGAGUGUGUUUGAGGUAGGCGGAAUGCGUGGUGUAGCGGUGAAAUGCAUAGAUAUCACGCAGAACUCCGAUUGCGAAGGCAGCUUACUAAGCCAUAACUGACACUGAAGCACGAAAGCGUGGGGAUCAAACAGGAUUAGAUACCCUGGUAGUC
RNAcentral lists this ribosomal RNA (460 nucleotides) under uncultured bacterium. RNAcentral's name for it is "partial 16S ribosomal RNA". It matches the Rfam family "Bacterial small subunit ribosomal RNA", at positions 338 to 795 of the family's 1533-position model. The record is from RNAcentral.